RNAcentral lists this transfer RNA (93 nucleotides) under Prunus dulcis (almond). RNAcentral's name for it is "tRNA tRNA.Ser". It matches the Rfam family "tRNA". Rfam says of the family: Transfer RNA (tRNA) molecules are approximately 80 nucleotides in length. Their secondary structure includes four short double-helical elements and three loops (D, anti-codon, and T loops). Further hydrogen bonds mediate the characteristic L-shaped molecular structure. tRNAs have two regions of fundamental functional importance: the anti-codon, which is responsible for specific mRNA codon recognition, and the 3' end, to which the tRNAs corresponding amino acid is attached (by aminoacyl-tRNA synthetases). tRNAs cope with the degeneracy of the genetic code in two manners: having more than one tRNA (with a specific anti-codon) for a particular amino acid; and 'wobble' base-pairing, i.e. permitting non-standard base-pairing at the 3rd anti-codon position. Lineage: Eukaryota; Viridiplantae; Streptophyta; Magnoliopsida; Rosales; Rosaceae. The record is from Rfam by way of RNAcentral.
GGAGAGAUGGCCGAGUGGUUGAUAGCUCCGGUCUUGAAAACCGGUAUAGUUCGAAACAAAGAACUAUCGAGGGUUUGAAUCCCUCUCUUUCUU